UGUUGUUGUUGAUGUUGUUGUUGUUGUUGUUGUUGUUGUUGUUGUUUUUGUGUUGUUGUUGUUGUUGUUGUUGUUGUCGUUGUAGUUGUUGUUGUUGUCGUUGUUGUUGUUGUUGUUGUUGUUGUUGUUGUUGUUAUUGUUUCUGUUGUUGUCGUCGUCAUUGUUGUUGUUGUUGUUGUUGUUGUUGUUGUAAUCAUCGCUGUCGUCAUCGUCAUAGUGUUUGUUUUUGUUGUUGUCAUUGCUAUCGCUCUUGUCACUAUUGUCGUCAUCGUUGUUGUUGUUGGUGUUGUUGUUGUUGUUCUCGUCAUUGUCUUUGUUG
This 319-nucleotide long non-coding RNA is filed under the name Hordeum vulgare. Its description in RNAcentral is "long non-coding RNA (HVUL_LNC020797)". Lineage: Eukaryota; Viridiplantae; Streptophyta; Magnoliopsida; Poales; Poaceae. The record is from RNAcentral.